This is a long non-coding RNA of Poecilia latipinna (sailfin molly), 1163 nucleotides long. RefSeq lists it as uncharacterized. The transcript is spliced from 2 exons. The record is from RefSeq and is a predicted model, not a curated record. NCBI's taxonomy places the organism in Eukaryota, Metazoa, Chordata, Actinopteri, Cyprinodontiformes, Poeciliidae.
AACAGCAUUCACUGCACCACAAACACACACACUCACACACACAUACACACACAUACAGGCGGAAAUGUUUUCCCAGAAAUUCAGACAGCCAGCAUCAAAGGCGGAGAACCUGUUAACAGAAAGAAUAAGAGGGCCGGAAAAAAAUGUGGGGGAAAAUUUGUAAACCGAAAGGCAUCAUUCACAUACGUGUGGUCUUUGUUCAUUCAGUUCACGGUACAUUCUGGCCCUCUUGUGGAUUAAAAAGACAAGACUUCGAGGCGAUGCGGACAUGAGACGGCAGCAAGCAAGAAUGGAACGGACAUUCGUCACGCGACGUUUUUGACGUGAGAAGUGGGGUAGAGGGGUCGUCGUGCGAACAACAAGGCGACUGGUUUCACAUUUCGAAGUUAAGGCCGAGGUGAUUUCAACGACGGAUGACGCAUUGGAUGUCUGCGAGAGAAAAUGGAUGAACGCAGGAAUCGGACGAUUAAUCAGCACCGAUUCUUUAGAUGUCGGUAGCAAAAGAAAAUAAAUUUGACCUUUUUUGUUGGUCAGUAAACACAUCGUGAAGUUAUUCUUUAGUAGUGUUAGGCGUUUAAAGUUAAGAGGGAGCAAACGGAUGUGUGACAAAGAGCAAGAUAACAGGAUCAAAGUUCGUUUGACCUUUUUGAGCUUCCAUCCUCCAUGUAACGGAUCAUGCUUUAUAUGGAUAUGUUACACAUCCACAAUCUAUAGGGAGUACACAGGGAGUGCUAGCCGUGCUAACUGCUAAUAUAAAAAUGCUAAAGACGAUAAAAUGUCAACCGUGCAAUCAUUUCGUCCCAGUUUUAAGCGCCUGCUCUCACACACGGUGUGACGUCACCUCUGCUCAAUAAUUAGCGUUUGCUCAUGACAGGAUGGAAGGAAAGAAAUAUUCUGAAUCUUAAAGACUUAAAUUCAGCCAGAAUCAGGUCGAAGCAGGCUAAAGCUUUAGAAAAAAAAAAAAAAAAAAAAAUCUGGAAAUUGGCCGAAAAAUUGUAAUCGGUGCGUCUCUGGUUCUUAGUCCCGGCACAUCUUGAAGAUGAAGACACGAGAAUAUAGAAAAGGACUAAAGCUUCAGAUAGAUACAUUGACGAGAAGAUUGGCAGUGUAGAACUUUCUUUCUAGCACAUAUCUACUGCAGAAAAAUGCACAGUAUUGGCUAA